CGAGCGAGCGGAACCACAGAUUUACUUCGGUAAUGACGUUGGGAAAGCGAGCGGCGGAUGGGUGAGUAACACGUGGGGAACCUGCCCCUAAGUCUGGGAUACCAUUUGGAAACAGGUGCUAAUACCGGAUAAUAAAGCAGAUCGCAUGAUCAGCUUUUGAAAGGCGGCGUAAGCUGUCGCUAAGGGAUGGCCCCGCGGUGCAUUAGCUAGUUGGUAAGGUAACGGCUUACCAAGGCGACGAUGCAUAGCCGAGUUGAGAGACUGAUCGGCCACAUUGGGACUGAGACACGGCCCAAACUCCUACGGGAGGCAGCAGUAGGGAAUCUUCCACAAUGGACGCAAGUCUGAUGGAGCAACGCCGCGUGAGUGAAGAAGGUUUUCGGAUCGUAAAGCUCUGUUGUUGGUGAAGAAGGAUAGAGGUAGUAACUGGCCUUUAUUUGACGGUAAUCAACCAGAAAGUCACGGCUAACUACGUGCCAGCAGCCGCGGUAAUACGUAGGUGGCAAGCGUUGUCCGGAUUUAUUGGGCGUAAAGCGAGCGCAGGCGGAAAAAUAAGUCUAAUGUGAAAGCCCUCGGCUUAACCGAGGAACUGCAUCGGAAACUGUUUUUCUUGAGUGCAGAAGAGGAGAGUGGAACUCCAUGUGUAGCGGUGGAAUGCGUAGAUAUAUGGAAGAACACCAGUGGCGAAGGCGGCUCUCUGGUCUGCAACUGACGCUGAGGCUCGAAAGCAUGGGUAGCGAACAGGAUUAGAUACCCUGGUAGUCCAUGCCGUAAACGAUGAGUGCUAAGUGUUGGGAGGUUUCCGCCUCUCAGUGCUGCAGCUAACGCAUUAAGCACUCCGCCUGGGGAGUACGAC
RNAcentral lists this ribosomal RNA (856 nucleotides) under uncultured bacterium. RNAcentral describes it as "bacterial SSU rRNA". It matches the Rfam family "Bacterial small subunit ribosomal RNA", at positions 63 to 886 of the family's 1533-position model. The record is from RNAcentral.